GAUGAACGCUAGCGGCAGGCCUAACACAUGCAAGUCGAGGGAGAAGCCCUUUCGGGGGCAGAAACCGGCCCACGGGUGCGUAACGCGUAUGCAACCUACCUUUCACAGGGGGAUAGCCCGAAGAAAUUUGGAUUAAUACCCCAUAAUAUUAUUGGAUGGCAUCAUUUGAUAAUUAAAACUGCGGUGGUGAAAGAUGGGCAUGCGUCCUAUUAGCUAGUUGGAGUGGUAACGGCACCCCAAGGCUACGAUAGGUAGGGGUCCUGAGAGGGAGAUCCCCCACACUGGUACUGAGACAGGGACCAGACUCCUACGGGAGGCAGCAGUGAGGAAUAUUGGUCAAUGGUCGGAAGACUGAACCAGCCAUGCCGCGUGCAGGAAGAAUGCCUUAUGGGUUGUAAACUGCUUUUAUAUGGGAAGAAUAAGGCGUACGUGUACGUUGAUGACGGUACCAUAUGAAUAAGCAUCGGCUAACUCCGUG
This 478-nucleotide ribosomal RNA is filed under the name uncultured bacterium. RNAcentral's name for it is "partial 16S ribosomal RNA". It matches the Rfam family "Bacterial small subunit ribosomal RNA", at positions 28 to 507 of the family's 1533-position model. The record is from RNAcentral.